GUGUGCGCUCUGCGUCGUCCAUCGGUCUGCAAUAUAAUCCACCAAGCAAAGGAAAUAAUAGCCUCUCUCACUCGUGGAAUAGAAUACAUAGGAGAGGAGAGAAUAGAGAUGCAGGGGGAAAUCUGCUAGACACGUCUCGAUCGAUCUCCCUAUAUAUACUAGCACCAGAUUUUACUUUUGAUUUACCACCCCUGCUGAUCUCGUACGUACAACUAGCUAGCAGGCUCUACUACUCCAUAGCCAACACUAGCUGCAGCAGCACUGCUGCUCCGGCCUCCGGUCAUGGACGACUACGGCAACGCGAGCGCGGGCACGGCGGCGCCGCAGCCGCAGCAAUAUUACUGCCGCUCCGUGUCGCCGCCGUCCAGGGUGUCGUCGUCGUGCUCGCCGCCACCGCCUCCUCCUCCUCCCGCUGUCCUGCAGGUGGUGGGCAACGUGCCGCCGCCGACCGUCGUCCUGAGCCCGUGCGCGGCGUGCAAGAUCCUCCGCCGCCGCUGCGCCGACGGCUGCGUGCUGGCUCCCUACUUCCCGCCGACCGAGCCCGCCAAGUUCACCACGGCGCACCGCGUCUUCGGCGCCAGCAACAUCAUCAAGCUCCUCCAGGAUCUGCCGGAGAGCUCGCGCGCGGACGCGGUGAGCAGCAUGGUGUACGAGGCGGAGGCGCGGCUGCGGGACCCAGUGUACGGGUGCGCGGGGGCGGUGUGCCGGCUGCAGAAGCAGGCCAACGAGCUCAAGGUGCAGCUGGCGCGCGCGCAGGCCGACCUGCUCAACGCGCAGGCCAAGCACGCCAACCUGCUCGCCCUCUUCUGCGUCGAGAUGGCCAAUCGCCGCGGCAACCAGCAGCACCCGUCGCCGCUGACGACGAUGAUGGACGGCGGCGGCGGCGGCGGAUUCGGCGCGGCGGCGUACUACCAGCAGACGACGUUGUACGACUCGGACCUGGACUCGGCGACGACGUGGCCGGAUCACGAAGCCCAGCUCUGGACCUAGCUCAUGCUUCUAUCGAUCUCGACUACUACAAGUACUUUUUGUUGCAUAAACAAAUACUAGCUAGUACGUAGCACAUGCAUGUGCGUUCUGCAACGGCAACGUUUGCAUCUUGUCGGAUGCUGCUGCAAGAACGCUGUGCAGCCGGCCGUAAUUACGAAGUAUACCCCCGUCAAUAUACGAUUAGUUGCUCUUGAUGAAU
This 1189-nucleotide unclassified non-coding RNA is filed under the name Zea mays. RNAcentral describes it as "misc RNA Zm00001eb013160". Lineage: Eukaryota; Viridiplantae; Streptophyta; Magnoliopsida; Poales; Poaceae. The record is from RNAcentral.